GACGAACGCUGGCGGCGUGCCUAAUACAUGCAAGUAGAACGCUGAAGAGAGGAGCUUGCUCUUCUUGGAUGAGUUGCGAACGGGUGAGUAACGCGUAGGUAACCUGCCUGGUAGCGGGGGAUAACUAUUGGAAACGAUAGCUAAUACCGCAUAAAAUUGAUUAUUGCAUGAUAAUUAAUUGAAAGAUGCAACUGCAUCACUACCAGAUGGAUCUGCGUUGUAUUAGCUAGUUGGUGAGGUAACGGCUCACCAAGGCGACGAUACAUAGCAGACCUGAGAGGGUGAUCGGCCACCCUGGGACUGAGACACGGCCCAGACGCCUACGGGAGGCAGCAGUAGGGAAUCUUCGGCAAGGGGGGGAACCCUGACCGAGCAACGCCGCGUGAGUGAAGAAGGUUUUCGGAUCGUAAAGCUCUGUUGUAAGAGAAGAACGGGUGUGAGAGUGGAAAGUUCACACUGUGACGGUAUCUGACCAGAAAGGGCCGGCUAACUACGUG
RNAcentral lists this ribosomal RNA (497 nucleotides) under uncultured bacterium. Its description in RNAcentral is "partial 16S ribosomal RNA". It matches the Rfam family "Bacterial small subunit ribosomal RNA", at positions 28 to 507 of the family's 1533-position model. The record is from RNAcentral.